CUUGGCAGAGAGAGGUAGCGGUAGAGGUAAAGGUGGAGGUGGUGGUGAAGGACGAGGUAGAGGUGGAGGUAGAAGUAGAGGUGGAGGUGGUGAUAGAGGUAGAGGUGGAGGUGAAGGUGGAGGUGGAGGUGGCGGUAGAGGUGGUGGUGGAGGUAGAAGUGGAGGGGGAGGUAGAAGUAGAGGUGGAGGUGGUGGUAGAGGUGGAGGUGUAGGUGGGGGUAGAGGUAAAGGUGGAGGUGGAGGUAGAGGUAGAGGUGGUGGUGGAGGUAGAAGUGGAGGUGGAGGUAGAAGUAUAAGUGGGGUGGUGGUAGAGGUAGAGGUGGAGGUGUUGGUAGAGGUGGGGGUGGAGGUAGAGGUGGAGGUGUAGGUGGGGGUAGAACUGGAGGUGGAGGUAGACGUAGAGGUGGAGGUGGUGGUAGAGGUGGAGGUGUAGGUGGGGGUAGAGGUAGAGGUGGAGGUGUAGGUGGGGGUAGAACUGGAGGUGGAGGUAGACGUAGAGGUGGAGGUGGUGGUAGAGGUAGAGGUGUAGGUGUAGGUGGGGGUAGAAGUGGAGGUGAAGAUAGAAGUGGAGGUGGAGGUAGAGGUGGAGGAAGACCAAGAACAAGGAGAGUAUUCUCAGAUGAAAUUCGGGCGACUAUAGUGGACCAUGUGGUCAACCCCGGUUUGACCUUGAGAGAGGCUGGGCAGAGAGUGCAGCCCAAUCUGAGCCGCUUCACUGUAGCAUCCAUCAUCCAGACGUUCCAAAAUGCAGGCAUUGGACCUCUCUACUACUUUUACUACUUGACAGUAGUACAACAUAAAGCACAGUAAAGACUGUAGAUUCCAAUACAUACUGUAGGGGGAAAAAAGUUAAUGUUUAAUAUAUUAAUGAAAUUGGGAGCUAUGCUACUUUGUAACAUGUUUAUCUUGUACAUUUUUAUAUUUUACAUUUUAGUCAUUUAGCAGACACUCUUAUCCAGAGCGACUUACAGUAGUGAAUGUAUACAUUUCCUGUACUGGUCCCCCGUGGGAAUCGAACCCACAACCCUGGCGUUGCAAACACCAUGCUCUGCCAACUGAGCCACACGGGAUAUUGUAUUAUUGUAGUGUUUAAUGUAGUGCAGGCUAUUUUGUUUUUGAAGAACUGAAAGACGACCACCACAUGCACCACUGGUCAAAAGUUUGGACACACCUACUCCUUCAAGGGUU
This 1188-nucleotide long non-coding RNA is filed under the name Salmo salar (Atlantic salmon). Its description in RNAcentral is "lncRNA (ENSSSAG00000100138.1)". The record is from RNAcentral. Lineage: Eukaryota; Metazoa; Chordata; Actinopteri; Salmoniformes; Salmonidae.